Molecule: long non-coding RNA, 1065 nt
Filed under: Vulpes vulpes (red fox)
Lineage: Eukaryota; Metazoa; Chordata; Mammalia; Carnivora; Canidae
Description: lncRNA (ENSVVUG00000013363.1)
Source: RNAcentral
CAAGAAGCACCUCUGUGGUGCCACUGACCCAUGGAUUAAUAUAUCAGAGGAGCAGUAACGGAACCGGGAAACACACCAGACCUUAACCCAUCGCUGGAAGUGUAAAUACAACGUCAUAAGCAGGGAAAAUUUUGGUAGAGAUGCUUUUUAAAAAGUUUAAAAAUAGGAUUCUUUAAUGCAGCGAACUGGACAUUGCUAGGAGAGGGAAAAAUCAUAUUCAUAUAUAUAAUAAGCUGGAAGGUUUCAAGUGGUUAGAAGAGAGAAUUUUAAAAAGGACAAUGUAAAGGAACAAAAAAAUAGGAUGGGAGGUGGAAGGGAAAGACCAUAAAAGGGAAGAAGGUGGGAAGGGAUGAAGCCAUGAAGGCAAGGAGGUGCAGACUGACUCUGUUGUGGUGCCUAAGAGAACAGCUUUGGAACCAAUGAGUUAACUCUCAGCUCUGUCUCCUACUGAUUAUGUGACUCUGGGUGGUCACUCAGCCUCUCUGAACUUCAAUUUCCUCAACCAUAAAAUGUAGUUAAUGAUGCUUGGCAUCUCGAUUUCUUACCAGAGUGCCUACUUCGUCAUGAUGUUGUAAGAUGACACAGGUGAAGAAGACUCUGAGGCCGGAGGGUAUUGGCCCACAACUACGCAGCUGGGAAGGGGAUCGCACUCAAAGACACGAUUCUGAUUUGCUCAAGUUUAGCUGCAACUCUGAGAGGGGAAAUAUCCUGCUUUUCAUUUAUAAAAAAAAAUCCCAGAGAGAGGAUCUACGCCCAUGAGUCUCAGAUUCCGAAGCCCACUCUCUUUCCACUUUAUCACGGAGAACAUUACAGAUGAGCAUUUUGUAAACUGUGAUGUGUGUAGCUCUCCGCGAAGCACCCCUGCCCGAUGGAAAGACAAUGUCAGCCAAGAGUAGGAGACGUGCAUGUGAUUCAAAACUCUCCAAAAGCCACAUUAAAAAAAAGCAAAUGAAACCGUGAAACUAAUUUUAAUAAUGUAUUUUACUGAACCCAAUAUACCCCGAAUACUUUUAUUUAAACAUGUAAUCAGUACAAAAAUGAUUGAUGAGUUAUUUUACAUUCUUU